GUUGGUGGUUAUAGUGGUUGUGAAACGCCUGAUCCCUUCCCGAACUCAGAAGCUAAGGCAACUACGCCGAUGAUAGUGCGUGAGCGUGAAAGUAGGUCACUGCCAACA
This 108-nucleotide ribosomal RNA is filed under the name Phycisphaerae bacterium. Lineage: Bacteria; Pseudomonadati; Planctomycetota; Phycisphaerae. The record is from RNAcentral.